RNAcentral lists this ribosomal RNA (441 nucleotides) under Bdellovibrio bacteriovorus. RNAcentral describes it as "bacterial SSU rRNA". It matches the Rfam family "Bacterial small subunit ribosomal RNA", at positions 521 to 962 of the family's 1533-position model. The record is from RNAcentral. Lineage: Bacteria; Pseudomonadati; Bdellovibrionota; Bdellovibrionia; Bdellovibrionales; Pseudobdellovibrionaceae.
UAAGACGAGGGAUCCUAGCGUUGUUCGGAAUUAUUGGGCGUAAAGCGGAUGUAGGUGGCUUUGUAAGUCAGAUGUGAAAGCCCAGGGCUCAACCCUGGAAGUGCAUUUGAUACUGCGAAGCUUGAGUGUCGGAGAGGUUACUAGAAUUGUUGGUGUAGUGGUGAAAUACGUAGAUAUCAACAGGAAUACCGGAGGCGAAGGCGGGUAACUGGCCGAACACUGACACUGAGAUCCGAAAGCGUGGGGAUCAAACAGGAUUAGAUACCCUGGUAGUCCACGCCGUAAACGAUGGAUACUUGUUGUUGGAGGUAUUGACCCCUUCAGUGACGAAGCUAACGCGUUAAGUAUCCCGCCUGGGGAGUACGGUCGCAAGAUUAAAACUCAAAGAAAUUGACGGGGGCCCGCACAAGCGGUGGAGCAUGUGGUUAAUCGAUGCAACGC